Myotis brandtii (Brandt's bat) is the source of this 151-nucleotide long non-coding RNA. RefSeq lists it as uncharacterized. The transcript has 3 exons. Lineage: Eukaryota; Metazoa; Chordata; Mammalia; Chiroptera; Vespertilionidae. The record is from RefSeq and is a predicted model, not a curated record.
ACAAGUCAGUCCAAGACUAAUGACGUGGCAAUCAGCUGUUAAAAUAUUCGUUGCUGGUAUUAGUGGAGAGAACUGGUGUGCCUGCGCGUAAGGGAAACGAAGGCAACACGAUUAUAGUAAUCAGUCAUUAAUGACAGAUGUAGUCAUUAUU